RNAcentral lists this transfer RNA (67 nucleotides) under Pseudois nayaur szechuanensis. RNAcentral describes it as "tRNA-Val". The record is from RNAcentral. Lineage: Eukaryota; Metazoa; Chordata; Mammalia; Artiodactyla; Bovidae.
CAAGAUGUAGCUUAACUAAAGCAUCUAGUUUACACCUAGAAGAUUUCACACACUAUGAAUAUCUUGA